RNAcentral lists this ribosomal RNA (1341 nucleotides) under metagenome. RNAcentral's name for it is "bacterial LSU rRNA". It matches the Rfam family "Bacterial large subunit ribosomal RNA", at positions 1610 to 2925 of the family's 2925-position model. The record is from RNAcentral.
AAAAAAAGCCUCUAAGCUUCAGAUCACAUUGGACCGUACCGUAAACCGACACUGGUGGGUGAGCAGAUAAUCUGCCAAGGCGCUUGAGAGAACUCGGGUUAAGGAACUCUGCAAAUUGAUACCGUAACUUCGGAAGAAGGUAUGCCUUCGACGGUGUAGGGAUUUACUCCCGAAGCUGUUGAAGGUCGCAGGUAAUCGGUGGCUGCGACUGUUUAUCAAAAACACAGGACUCUGCGAACACGCAAGUGGAAGUAUAGGGUCUGACGCCUGCCCGGUGCCGGAAGGUUAAUUGAUGGGGUUAGCCGCAAGGCGAAGCUCUUGAUCGAAGCCCCGGUAAACGGCGGCCGUAACGAUAACGGUCCUAAGGUAGCGAAAUUCCUUGUCGGGUAAGUUCCGACCUGCACGAAUGGCGUAACGCUGGCCACACUGUCUCGACCCGAGACUCAGUGAAGUUGAAAUCGCUGUGAAGAUGCGGCGUUCCCGCGGCAAGACGGAAAGACCCCGUGAACCUUCACUACAGCUUUACACUGAACUUUGAACCUUUCUGUGUAGGAUAGGUGGGAGGCUAUGAAACUUGGGCGCUAGCUCGAGUGGAGCCAACCUUGAAAUACCACCCUGGGAUGUUUGAAGUUCUAACCUUGGUCCGUAAUCCGGAUUGGGGACAGUGUAUGGUGGGUAGUUUGACUGGGGCGGUCUCCUCCCAAAGAGUAACGGAGGAGUGCAAUGGUACGCUCAGCGCGGUCGGUCAUCGCGCUCUAGAGUGCAAAGGCAUAAGCGUGCUUAACUGUGAGACAGACACGUCGAACAGGUACGAAAGUAGGUCUUAGUGAUCCGGUGGUUCUGUAUGGAAGGGCCAUCGCUCAACGGAUAAAAGGUACUCCGGGGAUAACAGGCUUAUUCCUCCCAAGAGUCCACAUCGACGGAGGAGUUUGGCACCUCGAUGUCGGCUCAUCACAUCCUGGGGCUGUAGCAGGUCCCAAGGGUAUGGCUGUUCGCCAUUUAAAGUGGUACGCGAGCUGGGUUCAGAACGUCGUGAGACAGUUCGGUCCCUAUCUGCCGUGGGCGUUGGAAACUUGAGGGUGAGCUGUCCUUAGUACGAGAGGACCGGGAUGGACGUAUCUCUGGUGUUCCGGUUGUCACGCCAGUGGCACUGCCGGGUAGCUAUAUACGGACGGGAUAAGCGCUGAAAGCAUCUAAGCGCGAAGCCCCCCCCAAGAUUAGGUUUCCCUGGGAACUCGAUUCCCCUAAAGGGCCGUCGGAGACUACGACGUUGAUAGGCUGGGUGUGUAAGUGCAGCAAUGCAUUGAGCUAACCAGUACUAAUUGCCCGUGAGGCUUGACC